GAACGCUGGCGGCGUGCCUAACACAUGCAAGUCGAGCGAAUGAAGUUCCUUCGGGAACGGAUUUAGCGGCGGACGGGUGAGUAACACGUGGGCAACCUACCUCAUAGAGGGGAAUAGCCUUCCGAAAGGGAGAUUAAUACCGCAUAAGAUUGUAGUACCGCAUGGUACAGCAAUUAAAGGAGCAAUCCGCUAUGAGAUGGGCCCGCGGCGCAUUAGCUAGUUGGUGAGGUAACGGCUCACCAAGGCGACGAUGCGUAGCCGGCCUGAGAGGGUGAUCGGCCACAUUGGGACUGAGACACGGCCCAGACUCCUACGGGAGGCAGCAGUGGGGAAUAUUGCACAAUGGGGGAAACCCUGAUGCAGCAACGCCGCGUGAGUGAUGACGGCCUUCGGAUUGUAAAGCUCUGUCUUCAGGGACGAUAAUGACGGUACCUGAGGAGGAAGCCACGGCUAACUACGUG
RNAcentral lists this ribosomal RNA (461 nucleotides) under uncultured bacterium. RNAcentral describes it as "bacterial SSU rRNA". It matches the Rfam family "Bacterial small subunit ribosomal RNA", at positions 31 to 507 of the family's 1533-position model. The record is from RNAcentral.